Molecule: non-coding RNA, 438 nt
Organism: Taeniopygia guttata (zebra finch)
Lineage: Eukaryota; Metazoa; Chordata; Aves; Passeriformes; Estrildidae
Source: RefSeq, a predicted model, not a curated record
AACAGGGCAAAACAAGGUGACGAUCUGUUCUUCGGCUCUCACACAGGUUUUGAUGUGCGUCUUCAGAGUCACCGCGAUUGACACCGAGAGUGGAGAAAUGGCAUGAUGAAAGGAGAACACAAACCACGCGUGCCCCAAAAAGAACAAGGUGCUGCCCUUAUAACUUCUGCAAAUGUGGUGCCACAGUAUCAGAUUCAGCUGCACAUUUUUGAAUUUCAAGUGGAUUCACAGAAAUAUGAGAGAGACUUCAAAGGUAAAAAAAAAAAUCUGUGUACUUACCUGUUGACAUACUUAUGGGAGAACUAACUGCCAUGCAGCUUUUCUUCCAAAAUGCUACUUAAAAUCUUUUUUUGCUUGAAUGUGAAAGCAAUGAGGGAACAUUUCAUGGAGUACAGGCAGCAUCUAUUAACACUGGAAGAAGGGAAGGGGAAGGAACUG